Molecule: ribosomal RNA, 256 nt
Filed under: uncultured bacterium
Lineage: Bacteria
Description: partial 16S ribosomal RNA
Rfam family: Bacterial small subunit ribosomal RNA
Source: RNAcentral
UACGUAGGGGGGCGAGCGUUGUCCGGAUUUAUUGGGCGUAAAAGGCUUGUAGGUGGCCACGUCAAGUCGGAUGUGAAAUCUCCCGGCUCAGCUGGGAGGGGUCAUUCGAUACUGGCGGGCUCGAGGCCGGUAGGGGGUAGCGGAAUUCCCGGUGUAGUGGUGGAAUGCGUAGAUAUCGGGGAGGAACACCAGUGGCGAAGGCGGCUACCUGGACCGGUUCUGACACUGAGGAGCGAAAGCGUGGGGAGCGAUCCGG